This 1335-nucleotide long non-coding RNA is filed under the name Equus caballus (horse). Its description in RNAcentral is "lncRNA (ENSECAG00000049549.1)". The record is from RNAcentral. Lineage: Eukaryota; Metazoa; Chordata; Mammalia; Perissodactyla; Equidae.
ACUGCCUCUUGGCCACCUUCUGCCACACUUGGGAGUGAAGUGCAUGGGUAAGGGCUGCCCCUGGUGCUGCCUCCAGGGAAGGAUUCCACCAUCUACUGGGCAAGAUUGGAAAAGCCCUAGAAGGAACCCAGCAUCCCUUUCCCUUCUACUUUCACUUUAGGUUUUGGGGCACAAGGGAAAAAGGCAGGGACCUCAUCUACAGGUGUAUUUGCUGGGUGGUACAGAGCAAGUGACCCCUUAGUCCUUGAGGAGUACAUAUACCCCCAACAUACACACACACACACACACACAUAGGACUGGGGGCACCAUAUCUUUAUUUCAGUGUUCUCUGGGAAGAUCAGCAUUAUGAGCUCAACAACAUAGCAUUCUUACUGUCCCACCACGUCCUCUGCUCUCUCACAAAAGAAAAAUACGAACUUAGGGACCGAAGGAUGCAAUUGUGUUACCCCUUACCAUGCCACAUCUUAGUGAGAGCUUGGUGAGAACCUGGAUGGGUUUGUAAGUGGAGCCCAGGGUUUGAUUCAGGAAAACGUGAGUUCUAGUCCUGACUUUGUCUCUUACUAGCUACGAGACCUUAGCCAUUUAUGUAAUUUCUUCCCAUCUUAGCUUUCUCCUCUGUCAGAUGAAAAUAGUACUAAAUUUUUGUUCUGAUUUGGCCUGGUGAAGCUAGCAUUAGAUAAUGGGUGGGAAAGCACAUUACAAAUUCUGACACACCAAACAAAUGCAAUAUAGAAAAUUAGAGACUAAUCAGUCCCCUAUUCAUUCCUGUUUAGUAGGAAUCAGUCCUGUAGGACAGAUGCAAGGGAAGAUUUGUUUGCCUUUCCUGGGCAUGAACUAGUGUCUGGGAAGAAAAUAGGAAAGUUCAUCCUGAAAUUGACUAAAAGGUGGAAACUUGAGCCUAGAUGGACUGCACGUGACUGAGGGUCAGGGGUCGCUCAUGAUUGGUUGAAAUAAGAUGUGAGAAGUGGAACCGCCCAAGGCAGCAGGGACCAGCAGGUAACUCUCAAAGGACACUGAGUCUGGCUAGAUGUUUCUUUUGUUUCCUAAUUCAAGAGUAGAAGUUUGUGCAUUAUUUCAUUUUCCUUUUCUGACAAGAGAAAAUAUAUGCAUUCACCCGAAAGAGACCUUUUUAUUGUUCUGGAAUCAAACCUAAGCAGACAUUUAUGGAAUGAGAAUUUAUUUAAAGAACUUUGAGUAACACAGUGGACAGUAUCUUCAACGACAGCCUGUAAAAGACACUAAAAUCCUUCUUAAAUAGACACUUCUUAUUUCAACUUUCUAUAGCGGCAGAAGGCAUAACAUUAAAUUUUAACUUACUAGAGACUUUUAUUUGAG